This 468-nucleotide ribosomal RNA is filed under the name uncultured bacterium. RNAcentral describes it as "partial 16S ribosomal RNA". It matches the Rfam family "Bacterial small subunit ribosomal RNA", at positions 28 to 507 of the family's 1533-position model. The record is from RNAcentral.
GACGAACGCUGGCGGCGUGCUUAACACAUGCAAGUCGAACGGAAAGGCCCUGCUUUUGUGGGGUGCACGUUUGCCGCACGCGUGUGUAACACGUGAGUAACCUGCCCCUGUCUUUGUGAUAACUUCACGAGACAGCGGCGCAUACCGCAUAGGAGCUCCUGCUGCAUGUUGGUGGUUGGAAAGUUUCGGCUGUGGGGGAUCGACUCGUGGCUUAUCAGCUUGUUGAUGGGGUAGUGGCAUACCAAGCCUUUGACGGGUAGCCGGCCUGAGAGGGUGACCGGCCACAUUGGGACUGAGAUACGGCCCCAGCUCGUACGGGAGGCAGAAGUGGGGAAGAUUGACGAAUGGGCGGAAGCUGGAUGCAGAAGCGCCGCGGGCCGGAUAACGGCCUUAGGGGGGUAAACCGCUUGCGCCUGUAACGAAGCGUGAGUGACGGGAAUGUGUAAAGAAGCACCGGCUAACUACGUG